GGGACCCGCACAAGCGGUGGAUGAUGUGGUUUAUUCGAUGCAACGCGAAAACCUUACCCACCUUUGACAUGUACGGAACCCUUUAGAGAUAGAGGGGUGCUCGAAAGAGAGCCGUAACACAGGUGCUGCAUGGCUGUCGUCAGCUCGUGUCGUGAGAUGUUGGGUUAAGUCCCGCAACGAGCGCAACCCUUGUCAUUAGUUGCUACAUUCAGUUGGGCACUCUAAUGAGACUGCCGGUGACAAGCCGGAGGAAGGUGGGGAUGACGUCAAGUCCUCAUGGCCCUUAUAGGUGGGGCUACACACGUCAUACAAUGGCUGGUACAAAGGGUUGCCAACCCGCGAGGGGGAGCCAAUCCCAUAAAGCCAGUCGUAGUCCGGAUCGUAGUCUGCAACUCGACUGCGUGAAGUCGGAAUCGCUAGUAAUCGUGGAUCAGAAUGUCACGGUGAAUACGUUCCCGGGUCUU
Molecule: ribosomal RNA, 464 nt
Filed under: uncultured Rhodoferax sp.
Lineage: Bacteria; Pseudomonadati; Pseudomonadota; Betaproteobacteria; Burkholderiales; Comamonadaceae
Description: bacterial SSU rRNA
Rfam family: Bacterial small subunit ribosomal RNA
Source: RNAcentral